CCUACGGGGGGCAGCAGUGGGGAAUAUUGGACAAUGGGGGGAACCCUGAUCCAGCCAUGCCGCGUGUGUGAAGAAGGCCCUCGGGUUGUAAAGCACUUUCAGUGAGGAAGAACGCCUGGUGGUUAAUACCCAUCAGGAAAGACAUCACUCACAGAAGAAGCACCGGCUAACUCCGUGCCAGCAGCCGCGGUAAUACGGAGGGUGCGAGCGUUAAUCGGAAUUACUGGGCGGAAAGCGCGCGUAGGUGGCUUGAUAAGCCGGUUGUGAAAGCCCCGGGCUCAACCUGGGAACGGCAUCCGGAACUGUCAAGCUAGAGUGCAGGAGAGGAAGGUAGAAUUCCCGGUGUAGCGGUGAAAUGCGUAGAGAUCGGGAGGAAUACCAGUGGCGAAGGCGGCCUUCUGGACUGACACUGACACUGAGGUGCGAAAGCGUGGGUAGCAAACAGGAUUAGAUACCCCUGUAGUC
RNAcentral lists this ribosomal RNA (465 nucleotides) under Vreelandella stevensii. RNAcentral's name for it is "partial 16S ribosomal RNA". It matches the Rfam family "Bacterial small subunit ribosomal RNA", at positions 338 to 795 of the family's 1533-position model. Lineage: Bacteria; Pseudomonadati; Pseudomonadota; Gammaproteobacteria; Oceanospirillales; Halomonadaceae. The record is from RNAcentral.